AGGAACUGGAGAGAUGGCUCAGGGGUUAA
RNAcentral lists this non-coding RNA (29 nucleotides) under Cricetulus griseus (Chinese hamster). Lineage: Eukaryota; Metazoa; Chordata; Mammalia; Rodentia; Cricetidae. The record is from RNAcentral.